UACAGAGGUCUCAAGCGUUGUUCGGAUUCAUUGGGCGUAAAGGGUGCGUAGGCGGCGCGGUAAGUCGGGUGUGAAAUCUCGGGGCUUAACUCCGAAACUGCAUUCGAUACUGCCGUGCUUGAGGACUGGAGAGGAGACUGGAAUUUACGGUGUAGCGGUGAAAUGCGUAGAUAUCGAGAGGAACACCAGUGGCGAAGGCGAGUCUCUGGACGACUCCUGACACUGAGGCACGAAAGCUGGGGGAGCAAACAGG
Molecule: ribosomal RNA, 253 nt
Filed under: uncultured bacterium
Lineage: Bacteria
Description: partial 16S ribosomal RNA
Rfam family: Bacterial small subunit ribosomal RNA
Source: RNAcentral